GGUUAAGCGACUAAGCGUACACGGUGGAUGCCCUGGCAGUCAGAGGCGAUGAAGGACGUGCUAAUCUGCGAAAAGCGUCGGUAAGGUGAUAUGAACCGUUAUAGCCGGCGAUGUCCGAAUGGGGAAACCCAGUGCAAUUCGUUGCACUAUCGUUAACUGAAUACAUAGGUUAACGAGGCGAACCGGGGGAACUGAAACAUCUAAGUACCCCGAGGAAAAGAAAUCAACCGAGAUUCCCCCAGUAGCGGCGAGCGAACGGGGAGCAGCCCGGAGUCUGAAUCAGCUUGUGUGUUAGUGGAAGCGUCUGGAAAGUCGCAGGGUACAGGGUGAUACUCCCGUACACUAAAACGCACAGGUUGUGAACUCGAAGAGUAGGGCGGGACACGUGGUAUCCUGUCUGAAUAUGGGGGGACCAUCCUCCAAGGCUAAAUACUCCUGACUGACCGAUAGUGAACCAGUACCGUGAGGGAAAGGCGAAAAGAACCCCGGCGAGGGGAGUGAAAAAGAACCUGAAACCGUGUACGUACAAGCAGUAGGAGCCCACUUGUUGGGUGACUGCGUACCUUUUGUAUAAUGGGUCAGCGACUUAUAUUCUGUAGCAAGGUUAACCGUAUAGGGGAGCCGCAGGGAAACCGAGUCUUAACUGGGCGUUAAGUUGCAGGGUAUAGACCCGAAACCCGGUGAUCUAGCCAUGGGCAGGUUGAAGGUUGGGUAACACUAACUGGAGGACCGAACCGACUAAUGUUGAAAAAUUAGCGGAUGACUUGUGGCUGGGGGUGAAAGGCCAAUCAAACCGGGAGAUAGCUGGUUCUCCCCGAAAGCUAUUUAGGUAGCGCCUCGUGAACUCAUCUUCGGGGGUAGAGCACUGUUUCGGCUAGGGGGUCAUCCCGACUUACCAACCCGAUGCAAACUACGAAUACCGAAGAAUGUUAUCACGGGAGACACACGGCGGGUGCUAACGUCCGUCGUGAAGAGGGAAACAACCCAGACCGCCAGCUAAGGUCCCAAAGUCAUGGUUAAGUGGGAAACGAUGUGGGAAGGCCCAGACAGCCAGGAUGUUGGCUUAGAAGCAGCCAUCAUUUAAAGAAAGCGUAAUAGCUCACUGGUCGAGUCGGCCUGCGCGGAAGAUGUAACGGGGCUAAACCAUGCACCGAAGCUGCGGCAGCGACACUAUGUGUUGUUGGGUAGGGGAGCGUUCUGUAAGCCGUUGAAGGUGGCCUGUGAGGGUUGCUGGAGGUAUCAGAAGUGCGAAUGCUGACAUAAGUAACGAUAAUGCGGGUGAAAAACCCGCACGCCGGAAGACCAAGGGUUCCUGUCCAACGUUAAUCGGGGCAGGGUGAGUCGACCCCUAAGGCGAGGCCGAAAGGCGUAGUCGAUGGGAAACAGGUUAAUAUUCCUGUACUCGGUGUUACUGCGAAGGGGGGACGGAGAAGGCUAUGUUGGUACGGGCGACGGUUGUCCCGGUUUAAGCAUGUAGGCGGAUGUUCCAGGUAAAUCCGGAACGUUACUAACGCUGAGGUGUGAUGACGAGGCACUACGGUGCUGAAGUGACAAAUGCCCUGCUUCCAGGAAAAGCCUCUAAGCAUCAGGUAACAUCAAAUCGUACCCCAAACCGACACAGGUGGUCAGGUAGAGAAUACCAAGGCGCUUGAGAGAACUCGGGUGAAGGAACUAGGCAAAAUGGUGCCGUAACUUCGGGAGAAGGCACGCUGAUGGUAAGUGAAGCGACUUGCUCGUGGAGCUGAAAUCAGUCGAAGAUACCAGCUGGCUGCAACUGUUUAUUAAAAACACAGCACUGUGCAAACACGAAAGUGGACGUAUACGGUGUGACGCCUGCCCGGUGCCGGAAGGUUAAUUGAUGGGGUUAUCCGUAAGGAGAAGCUCUUGAUCGAAGCCCCGGUAAACGGCGGUACCGUAACUAUAACGGUCCUAAGGUAGCGAAAUUCCUUGUCGGGUAAGUUCCGACCUGCACGAAUGGCGUAAUGAUGGUCAGGCUGUCUCCACCCGAGACUCAGUGAAAUUGAACUCGCUGUGAAGAUGCAGUGUACCCGCGGCAAGACGGAAAGACCCCGUGAACCUUUACUAUAGCUUGACACUGAACACUGGUCCUUGAUGUGUAGGAUAGGUGGGAGGCUUUGAAGUGUGGACGCCAGUCUGCAUGGAGCCAUCCUUGAAAUACCACCCUUUAAUGGCUGGUGUUCUAACGUGGGCCCCUGAUCGGGGUUGCGGACAGUGUCUGGUGGGUAGUUUGACUGGGGCGGUCUCCUCCUAAAGAGUAACGGAGGAGCACGAAGGUCAGCUAAUCCUGGUCGGACAUCAGGAGGUUAGUGCAAUGGCAUAAGCUGGCUUGACUGCGAGCGUGACGGCGCGAGCAGGUGCGAAAGCAGGUCAUAGUGAUCCGGUGGUUCUGAAUGGAAGGGCCAUCGCUCAACGGAUAAAAGGUACUCCGGGGAUAACAGGCUGAUACCGCCCAAGAGUUCAUAUCGACGGCGGUGUUUGGCACCUCGAUGUCGGCUCAUCACAUCCUGGGGCUGAAGUAGGUCCCAAGGGUAUGGCUGUUCGCCAUUUAAAGUGGUACGCGAGCUGGGUUUAGAACGUCGUGAGACAGUUCGGUCCCUAUCUGCCGUGGGCGCUGGAGAAUUGAGGGGGGGCUGCUCCUAGUACGAGAGGACCGGAGUGGACGCAUCACUGGUGUUCGGGUUGUCAUGCCAAUGGCAUUGCCCGGUAGCUAAAUGCGGAAGAGAUAAGUGCUGAAAGCAUCUAAGCACGAAACUUGCCCCGAGAUGAGUUCUCCCUGACUCCUUGAGAGUCCUGAAGGAACGUUGAAGACGACGACGUUGAUAGGCCGGGUGUGUAAGCGCAGCGAUGCGUUGAGCUAACCGGUACUAAUGAACCGUGAGGCUUAACCUU
Molecule: ribosomal RNA, 2910 nt
Filed under: Klebsiella michiganensis
Lineage: Bacteria; Pseudomonadati; Pseudomonadota; Gammaproteobacteria; Enterobacterales; Enterobacteriaceae
Description: 23S ribosomal RNA
Rfam family: Bacterial large subunit ribosomal RNA
Source: RNAcentral